UACGAAGGGGGCUAGCGUUGCUCGGAAUCACUGGGCGUAAAGGGUGCGUAGGCGGAUAGUUUAGUCAGAGGUGAAAGCCCAGGGCUCAACCUUGGAAUUGCCUUUGAUACUGGCUAUCUUGAGUAUGGGAGAGGUGUGUGGAACUCCGAGUGUAGAGGUGAAAUUCGUAGAUAUUCGGAAGAACACCAGUGGCGAAGGCGACACACUGGCCCAUUACUGACGCUGAGGCUCGAAAGCGUGGGGAGCAAACAGG
RNAcentral lists this ribosomal RNA (253 nucleotides) under uncultured bacterium. Its description in RNAcentral is "partial 16S ribosomal RNA". It matches the Rfam family "Bacterial small subunit ribosomal RNA", at positions 524 to 776 of the family's 1533-position model. The record is from RNAcentral.